This is a non-coding RNA of Vicia faba (fava bean), 225 nucleotides long. The record is from the annotation of a GenBank genome assembly. Lineage: Eukaryota; Viridiplantae; Streptophyta; Magnoliopsida; Fabales; Fabaceae.
AUGGUGUCCUAUCAUUCCCCCCAAAAGGCUGGACACAUUGGCAUAACUGUUGAUGACACCUACAAAGCAUGUGAAAGAUUUCAGAAUCUGGGAGUUGAGUUUGUUAAGAAACCAGAUGAUGGGAAAAUGAAAGGGAUAGCAUUUAUUAAGGAUCCCGAUGGAUAUUGGAUUGAAAUCUUUGACCGGAAAACAAUAGGAAAUGUAACAGCAGGUGCUGCCGUAUAA